This is a non-coding RNA of Canis lupus familiaris (dog), 81 nucleotides long. Lineage: Eukaryota; Metazoa; Chordata; Mammalia; Carnivora; Canidae. The record is from Rfam.
GCCUGAGUAGCUCAGUGGUUGAGCAUCUGCCUUUGGCUCAGGGCAUGAUCCUGGUCCUGGGAUUGAGUCCCACAUCAGGCU